RNAcentral lists this ribosomal RNA (459 nucleotides) under uncultured bacterium. RNAcentral's name for it is "partial 16S ribosomal RNA". It matches the Rfam family "Bacterial small subunit ribosomal RNA", at positions 338 to 795 of the family's 1533-position model. The record is from RNAcentral.
CCUACGGGUGGCAGCAGUGAGGAAUAUUGGUCAAUGGUCGGGAGACUGAACCAGCCAAGCCGCGUGAGGGAUGAAGGUACAGAGUAUCGUAAACCUCUUUUGUCAAGGAACAAAGGCGGGGACGUGUCCCCGGAUGAGUGUACCUGAAGAAAAAGCAUCGGCUAACUCCGUGCCAGCAGCCGGGGUAAUACGGAGGAUGCGGGCGUUAUCCGGCUUUAUUGGGGUUAACGGGUGCGCAGGCGGUCUGUUAAGUCAGCGGUCAAAGCCCGGGGCUCAACCCCGGCCCGCCGUUGAGACUGGCAGUCUCGAGUUGGAGAGAAGUAUGCGGAAUGCGCGGUGUAGCGGUGAAAUGCAUAGAUAUCGCGCAGAACUCCGAUUGCGAAGGCAGCAUACCGGCGCUCAACUGACGCUCAUGCACGAAAGUGUGGGUAUCGAACAGGAUUAGAUACCCUUGUAGUC